GAGGUUAUAGCCCAGUGGUAUAGCGUGUGCUUAGUGUGCACAAGGUUGUGGGUUCGACCCCCAGUACCUCCG
Molecule: transfer RNA, 72 nt
Filed under: Camelus bactrianus (Bactrian camel)
Lineage: Eukaryota; Metazoa; Chordata; Mammalia; Artiodactyla; Camelidae
Also listed under: 1 other name
Rfam family: tRNA
About the family: Transfer RNA (tRNA) molecules are approximately 80 nucleotides in length. Their secondary structure includes four short double-helical elements and three loops (D, anti-codon, and T loops).
Source: Rfam by way of RNAcentral